ACUCGCUUGGUGAAAUAGGUAAACACGAUAGACUUAAAAUCUGUUUCUUGUUAAAGAUUAUCGGUUCAAGUCCGAUAGCGAGUA
This 84-nucleotide transfer RNA is filed under the name Palpitomonas bilix. RNAcentral describes it as "tRNA-Leu". It matches the Rfam family "tRNA". From Rfam's summary of the family: Transfer RNA (tRNA) molecules are approximately 80 nucleotides in length. Their secondary structure includes four short double-helical elements and three loops (D, anti-codon, and T loops). Further hydrogen bonds mediate the characteristic L-shaped molecular structure. tRNAs have two regions of fundamental functional importance: the anti-codon, which is responsible for specific mRNA codon recognition, and the 3' end, to which the tRNAs corresponding amino acid is attached (by aminoacyl-tRNA synthetases). tRNAs cope with the degeneracy of the genetic code in two manners: having more than one tRNA (with a specific anti-codon) for a particular amino acid; and 'wobble' base-pairing, i.e. permitting non-standard base-pairing at the 3rd anti-codon position. The record is from RNAcentral.